GACUACAUGAAGCUGGAAUCGCUAGUAAUCGCGGAUCAGAAUGCCGCGGUGAAUACGUUCCCGGGUCUUGUACACACCGCCCGUCACACCAUGGGAGGUCGGAAAUGCCCGAAGUCUGUGACCCAACCUUAGGGAGGGAGCAGCCGAAGGCAGGUCGGAUGACUGGGGUGAAGUCGUAACAAGGUAGC
RNAcentral lists this ribosomal RNA (188 nucleotides) under uncultured bacterium. RNAcentral describes it as "partial 16S ribosomal RNA". It matches the Rfam family "Bacterial small subunit ribosomal RNA", at positions 1314 to 1500 of the family's 1533-position model. The record is from RNAcentral.